Molecule: ribosomal RNA, 253 nt
Filed under: uncultured bacterium
Lineage: Bacteria
Description: partial 16S ribosomal RNA
Rfam family: Bacterial small subunit ribosomal RNA
Source: RNAcentral
UACGGAGGGGGCUAGCGUUGUUCGGAGUUACUGGGCGUAAAGCGCACGUAGGCGGCUUUGCAAGUUAGAGGUGAAAGCCCGGAGCUCAACUCCGGAAUUGCCUUUAAAACUGCAUCGCUAGAAUUGUGGAGAGGUAAGUGGAAUUCCGAGUGUAGAGGUGAAAUUCGUAGAUAUUCGGAAGAACACCAGUGGCGAAGGCGACUUACUGGACACAUAUUGACGCUGAGGUGCGAAAGCGUGGGGAGCAAACAGG